GUCCCUAUCGUCUAGAGGCCUAGGACAUCUCCCUGUCACGGCGGUAACCGGGGUUCGAAUCCCCGUAGGGACGCCA
This 76-nucleotide transfer RNA is filed under the name Acinetobacter entericus. Its description in RNAcentral is "Acinetobacter sp. BIT-DXN8 tRNA-Asp". It matches the Rfam family "tRNA". Rfam says of the family: Transfer RNA (tRNA) molecules are approximately 80 nucleotides in length. Their secondary structure includes four short double-helical elements and three loops (D, anti-codon, and T loops). Lineage: Bacteria; Pseudomonadati; Pseudomonadota; Gammaproteobacteria; Moraxellales; Moraxellaceae. The record is from RNAcentral.